RNAcentral lists this ribosomal RNA (494 nucleotides) under uncultured bacterium. RNAcentral describes it as "bacterial SSU rRNA". It matches the Rfam family "Bacterial small subunit ribosomal RNA", at positions 29 to 519 of the family's 1533-position model. The record is from RNAcentral.
AUUGAACGCUGGCGGCAUGCCUUACACAUGCAAGUCGAACGGCAGCACGGGGGCAACCCUGGUGGCGAGUGGCGAACGGGUGAGUAAUACAUCGGAACGUGCCCAGUAGUGGGGGAUAGCUCGGCGAAAGCCGGAUUAAUACCGCAUACGACCUACGGGUGAAAGCGGGGGAUCGCAAGACCUCGCGCUAUUGGAGCGGCCGAUGUCAGAUUAGGUUGUUGGUGGGGUAAAGGCCACCAAGCCGACGAUCUGUAGCUGGUCUGAGAGGACGACCAGCCACACUGGGACUGAGACACGGCCCAGACUCCUACGGGAGGCAGCAGUGGGGAAUUUUGGACAAUGGGCGCAAGCCUGAUCCAGCCAUGCCGCGUGCGGGAAGAAGGUCUUCGGGUUGUAAACCGCUUUGUCAGGGAAGAAACGCUCCGGGUUAAUACCUCGGCGUAAUGACGGUACCUGAAGAAUAAGCACCGGCUAACUACGUGCCAGCAGCCGCU